AAAAGGGAAUAAUGGAGACAGCACUCACAGAUAGGGAACCCACUUAAAUUGCACAGGCCUCACUAUUUCCAUUUGGGGUAUACAAUACACUACCCACAAUCCACACAUGGGAACAAAUUCAUACACAAUACACACAUACAAAACACGGGACUCAGGGAGCAAAAAAGCGGGUCUUCUUCUAUUUUUAUAUACUCAAUCACACACAAAAUCUCAAAAUUCACUCACAGUAACACACUCCGAUGAUACACAAACACACUUAUCUUCUCCACCAAAAAUGCAUACACACAUCACUACGCACAGAGAGAUGGUGAGAAGAGAGUGAGAGAUCGAGAGAGUGAGAGACCGAGAGAGAGAGACAAAAAUAGUGAGAAGAGGAGAGUUGAUCGGGGAAAGAGAGAAGUGAAUUGUAGAGAAGGAAAUUGAGGAAAAAAGGGGGAAAUCCACUGGAGAUUGACCGGAAAUCCACUGUCACCGUGAAUUCGGUUUGAAUUCUCCGACAUUUGGGACUGCCGAGCUCGCCGGAGCUCCGAAGAAACCAAAACCGUGAUUCCAGUUCAAAAACCGACCCCCCGUUCUAUUUCUUCGACAAGACCCGCCGGAAAACGAUGCGAAAAAUGGGUACGGGAUUUCCCCAUUUGUGAUUCUGGUACUGGUUUGGCAAAAAUAGUGAAAUACCGAGGCUGGUUUGAUUCGGAUUGAGGAUGGUCGAGGUUCAUGAGUUCCGAUCCAUCGCUAAUUGUUCAGAAUAAAUCAAUUAUCGAGAGGUCCAAGUCUAUCUUUUUUUUCUUUAAUUUUUACGUAGUCGUGAAUGAUUUGUGUGUUUGGUAUGUUUGAAUCUUGAUUGUGUAUUGGUUGAUGUUGGAUUUGAGUGUGGAAAGUUGAAUUGGUAGUCGAAGAAUUGAUUAAUUAUUUUGUGAAUGAAUGCGGGAAAGGAUUGAUCUCGAUAAAAGUAAAUUUGGAUAAAUUUUGAUUCAUUGAUGAUGUUGAACAUGAUAGAAUCAUUAUAGAUCGAGCUGGGUAGGCAAAUAGUAGGUUCAGGUAGGCAAAUUUAUAACUUGUGGAAUGUUGAAAAUGUUUGUUGAAUGGUUUUAUUUUAUAAAUUUGGAUCAAUUGUACUCAUUUGGUCGGAGAAUGUCCCGAAAGAAAUUGUAUUUAUUCAUUGGGGAAUGCCCGACGUAUUAUGUUGGCAAAAGAUGUUCGUGAUCGAGGCAUCGGGUAAAGGCAUUGGAGCGUAGUUUUAGGAUUAGCUUAGAAUAAGAUUUAUAUUUUUGCAUUUUUUUUAUUUUUGAACUAUAUAAUUGAACUGGACACUAUAUGUUGGAUUUGUUUUGUUUUGUUUUGUAUGUUUGAUGGAUUGUUUUAUGUGUUUUUGUGUGUUUUAUACAUUCAUGAUGUCAAAUUAAUUGAUACGCUCCACCAAGCGACCGUGGUCGAACCACGGGAUCGAGGGGUGUCUAACACCUUCCCCUCGGUCAAAAGAAUUUCUUAGCCGAAAUCUCUGUUUGCAAAUCAGUUUUAAAGAUUCAAAUUGUUCUGAAAAAAAUUAUUCAAAGGUCACUUGGCACACCGAAUUAUGCUAAAUGGCGACUCUGAGUUUUGAAAAAAGGGGUGUGACACCCUUGGGUCUUUAUUGAUAGCAUAUUGCCCUGAGCACGACUUGUCCAAGUCCAACGAAGAGGAAAUGCAAUUUGAAGUAAGGGGGAACUUAUCAGCUUUCACUGUUGACGGGCUUGACAAGCUAACGUAGCUUCCACUUUGGCUCCGACAUUUAUCAGCUACUUUGAAAUCAAUACACACUUAUAGAUGUCCUAACUUGGCAACAAUUCCAGAAUGGAUAGGCGACCUCAUUGCCCUUAAUUUGUUGGCGAUUCAUAAUUGCCCUAUGUUGACAUUCUUGCCAGAAGCCAUGAGAUCUCUCACAGCAUUGCAAACACUACAUAUUUUAUGGUGUUCAUCAAUUCUAUCGCAAAUAUGCGAGAAGGAAGUAGGAGAGGACUGCCUAAGAUUGCUCACAUCCCAUCUGUUGGCAUAGGAGGUAAUUACCCUUUUACAUUUUGUUGGGAUUCAUAGUUAGUAUGACAAAAAGUAAAUGGAGAGAGUAGUAAUUAGCAAUUGAAAAUUGGAAAUUAAUAAUUAGUAAUUAGUGACUCGUAAUUGAAAAUUAAUAAGCAAUUUAUUUUGUUGAAUGUUAUUAGCUUCAUAAUUUGUUUAUUAAUUGAUUUUACCUUUUUAUUAAAUGAACAUAAUAAUAGAAUUAGUGUUUAAAAUCCCGUUUGGAAUAGCUGUUACAAAACUGCUUCUUUGAGAAGCACUUUUAUUAAAUGUCUUUUCAAAAAAGUGCUUUUGUUUGAAAGCAAUUUGUGUUUGAUAAAUUAAUUUGAAAAGUGUCUUUGAUAAACAGAUUGCGUUUGAAUAAUUUUUUUCAAGAAGUGCAUUUUUGAGCCAAAUGAUCAAAAAUGACAUGUAUCAAUAGACUUUUAUUACUAAAAUCGAUUUAUAGAGAAAAUUUAUUUUAAAUAUUCAUUAUUAUAUUUUUAAUUAAAAUUUUAUUUUUGUUUAAUUAAAAGGUAUGUACUCUAAAAUUUUCAAUCAACAUUUAUAUACAUAAAUACGUUAAAAAUAUUAAAUAAUGAUAUAUUACUUAAAUAAUUUAAAUAUUUCUUAUAAACAUCUAACAAAAAUGAAUAUAAAAAUUAUUCCAUAAAUUAAAUCACUACGUAUAAAAAUAUCAACGAUAAAAAUAAUUAGUCAUUCCUACAUCACAAAAAUUCUCAUUUCUAAUUUUAUCACGCAAGAUUUGUCUUGUAUUUCUGAAGGUAUACUAGAAGGCUCAUCUCCUUCUUCGAUCUCUAUAAUGAUGUCUUCGUUAGCAUAAUAGUUAAAGUCUUUUUUAGUAGUAGAGCGUUGUCAUAUUACAUAUUCAAGAAAAAAAUUAGAAGUGUUGCCAAAAUACCAUUUAAUCUUGUAACGUGAUUCAUAUGUCAUUUGUUAUCAUUAAUAAUAAAAUAUAAAAAAUUAUAUAUAUUCUUCAGUCAUCAUCAUCAAUGAUAUUUAUAAAUUUAUUUAAAGAAAAUGAAUAAAAUUAAAAUAAUAAUAAUAUAUAAAUCAUAAAAUAAAAUAAAGAAUUAUGAUAUAUAUAUGAAGUAGAAAAUUUUAGAAUAAAAAAUUAAAGAAUUUUGUGCGCGCGCUCCUGUGAUAGGGAUAUAUUUUUGUCAUAAAAAAUAUUUUUUUAGUUGUAGUUUUUUUAAAAUGUAGAAAUUUUUUGCUUUUGCUUUUUCUUAAUAACAUUUUGACAAGUUUAUCAAAUAUUCUUCUUUUCAAAAUAAGUAUUUUUUGGAGGGAAAAUAAGCAAUUCCAAACAGACAGUCAGACACUAAGUCUUGAAUUACUAAGGUUAAACUACCAAACUACUCUUAGGACUAAGUCUAAACUAUCAAAUUAAAUCUUUGAAAAGAAAAAGAAACACCCCCUGUCAGGUAUAGCCAGGGCCAGCUUCAAGGCAAAGCCAUCGAAGCAAGCGCUUCAUUUUUUUUUAAAGUAUUAUAGGUUUGUAGGUUUUUUAGAUUUUUUUCUUUAGAAAAUAUCAAAUAUUUCUUAAUAUUUUCUUCACAAUAUUUUAAUUUCUCUUAAGCUCCAAUAGAAAUAUUACUUUAGAAAUUCAAGAUUAAAGUUGACAAUCAACAUUAAAAAAAAUUCUUCUAUUACUCUCAAAUCUAAAAAGAACAUCUAAUAAAUAGAAGUAACUCAAAAAACCAUACCUUCUAUUUAUUAUUUUGAUUAAUGGAGCGAACAGAAUUAAAGCAAUGAUUACUGUGGAAUCGAAUAAGUUGAAAGGUAAGAUGUAUUUCAAUCAGAUAAAAAGAUUUUAUUAUUUUACGAAUGCAUAUUUUUCUCGAUCCUAUAUAAUUGUCUUAGCUGAAAGAAAUUUUUUAAAAAUAAAAUUUCAAAAAUAUUACUUAAGCUUAAGAAAAUAUUUCAAGAGACAUCAAAUGAAUUAAGCAUAUUAUUAAUUGAAAAGGAAUUUUUUUGGAUAAAUCAAUUACAAAACAGUUUUAUUUAUAAUUUUACACCUCAAAAAGCUAUAAAUAUAGAUUUAUAAAAAAGAAAUUCAAAGGCUCAUUUUAAAAUUUCGCUUUAGGCCACCAAUUAUAUUGAGUCGUCCUGGGUAUAGCAAAUUAAUUCAGUGCACUAUAUGAGGCGUUACACGUCGUUAGCCGUUACAAUCAAGUCCGUGUAAAAGCCUCAUAUAGCUCACUAAGGUUGUAUCCAUUUUGGUUCAACUUUUAAAUUGUAUUCUAUUUCAGUUACUUUUAAAUUUUUGUUUGUUAGUUAGGUUCCAGACUCUGAUGGAUUUACAGGAGAGCUUAAAGAAAAACGUUGGUGUUUCAACUGUGUUUUUGGGAGUCAGUUAAAAAGUUGAUAAUUCAGCAGAACCCUUUUAGGCCUCCAUUUUCAUGAUUCAUUAUUGAAUGGUUUUAUUGGCCCUUGAAGUAAAGUGGAAACUGAUUUUGACAUUUUCUUCAUUUCUGUGUUUGCUAUUUAAUUUCAUGAUGAGUUUAUGUAGCUUUGCUGAUUCUUUAAUUCUCACCUUAAUGUUUGUUGAGGAAUAAUUUUCUUAAAUACAGUAUCUCAAAACGAAUUAUAUUUGCAACGAUUACUUAUUUUCUGUUUUCAACGCGUGAUCACUACACUAAGACCUGACCCCUUUAUUUCUUAAUCUUCUAGCGCUAUGAAUACGUUGGUAAGCGUCAGCAAGUAAAAUAUCAUGAUUUGUGGUUGAGCCUAGGUCUUUUGAGAUAAAUUCCUUAGAAUUACCAGUAGACUUUCAUAACUAUUAUGUGGUGCUUAAUUGGGAUAAAAGAAAACGUUCAUAAAAUUAAAAAUAAAAUCAAAUUAUCACCUUGAUGUUUAAUUUCAAGUAUAUACUAGUACUAUUAUUAUACACACCUAAUGUGAGUGGGAGAUACAUGAAGGAGUCAUAAACAAGAAAAGGAUAGCUCAAUUUUGUGGGAAAGAAGAUUCUUAUAUAUUGAAAAAAAAAAAAAAAAUGACAUCAAGACUUGAAGAUCAAUGCUGAAUAGUGUAGUGACUAUCAACUUUAAAAGUCUGACAAAAUUCCCUACUUUUUCAUGUGUAAUAUUGUGUGGAGCUCAAUAUAGAAGUAGUACACUAAAAUUUACUCGCAUUCGAAUUCGACUAAAUAAUAAUAUUGUUCGUGAAUAUUGACCCUACCACCCUAGAUACCGCUAUAAUAUAUAGAGCCCCCGAAUAUGUAUUUUCUCAAUUCUCAAUAAAAACUAUUUUGUCAUUGCUUUAGCGAGAAGAUUCUCUUAUUGGAAUCGUAUUUUUAUUUUUCUAAUUUACAUAUAUUAUACAUAUAAUUAUUUUAAUUUAUAUAUUAGACAAGUGGAAAUACAUACAGAGAGGGAUACAAAGAAAUUUCUCAAAAGUAUAUAAAACUUCAAGAAGAAAAAAAUUGUAGAAACCAUUAUUCUAUACAAAGAAAAGAGACAAGCAUGCACAUGGCAAUAGGAGAAAAAGUCCAAAGCCAUUAUAAUGCUCUUUCCAACCUUCUUCAUAGUUGACAAAAACAUGUAUUGUUACAUCAUUUCUCAAAAAUUUUAUGUCUCCAAAUUGUAUUUUUGUCCUCCUCAUUUUUUUACCUAAUAAUUCCAAGAAUUACAGCUCACAAACUCCCUCACCUUUUGAGGAAUUUCCAACAAAAGAAAAUUUCUUUUUCUUUUUUCCUUCUAGGUAGAAAAUCUAAACAAGGAAAGAAUCCACCUCACAAAAAGCAUUUGCCAGCCUUUAUAAUAAUACACAGCUGAGCCCUUCAAUAAUCUGCACCAGAUAUUUAAAUCAUCAUAUAAGCAAGUGGCAAUUUUUAAUCAAAGAAAAAAAGUUAGGUUUAAUAGCAUUUUUAGUCCCUCAAUUAUUAAUAAAUUCUAUUUUAGUCUCUGUAGUAUCUCAGUUACUUGAAAUGUAUCUUUUAAUUCCUUUACUUGUGAAUAUUUACAAAUUCCCAGAAUUAUUAAUCGUUUCACUAUUUAAUAACACAUAUUUAUAUUAAGCUUAAGGAGAGCCUUUGAGUAACUGGUAAAGUUACAAUCAUGUGACUGGAAAUUUACGGGUUCAAAUCUUGAAAAUAGCCUCUCACAGAAAUGUGAGGCAAGUCUAUGCACAAUAAACCUGACCUUUUUAUAGUUAUAUUAAAAUUGUAUUGUUACUCUAUAUUUGAGUAGUAGUCCUUUUUAUAGUUAUAUUAAGAUGACCUUUUUAUAGUUAUAUUAAGAUUGUAUUGUUACUCUAUAUUUGAGUAGUAGUCCUUUUUAUAGUUAUAUUAUGAUUGUAUUGUUACUCUAUAUUUGAGUAGUAAUAUGCUUCUAAAUUUAGUCCUGAGUGAAGAUAAGACAAGUUGAGUCAAAUAUAUUGCAAUGACAAAAACCAUAAUAAUUAAGAGACCAAAAAUGCAAUUAUUCCAAGAAUUUACUCAUAAUUACUCCUUUGAAAGUGUUUUUUUUUUGCUAGCUAAAAUUUUAUUUUAGUUAAACUCAAACAAACAAAUUGAAUCAGGAGGGAGUAUUAGUUUGCACUUACCAUCAUGUUUCUUCAUUUGGUUCCUUGCAAAGAGCAUACAAAUGACUAGAAAACCAACUCCUGCUGCUCCUCCUAGUAUUAUAGCUACUGUCUUUCCUGUGUUUUGACCUGUCCGUACACGUUCAUUAAACACCUCUCAUUACUAUGCACAAAAAGUAUUGAUACAAAAAAUCUGAAAUAUAGCACACAAAUCUAAGCUAGACAAACAUCUUGUUAAAGGGGACAUAUUCUAAAGAAAAAAAAUUCAAUUAUCAUGCUCCUAAUUUGUUUAUUCUUCCGUUUUUCUUUACUUGUCACAUUUUUAAGUUGUACACCUCUUGAAAAAAAAAGGUGAUUUGACUAAAUUUGUCCUUAUUUAUUACUCAUUUUUAUUUAAUGUUUUUCUUUUUUUCCACUGCCCCACUUUGUGGGAUACACCGAAUAUGUUUUGUUGCUUCUCUUUCUUUUUUUUUUCACUAUAUUAGCAUCUCUCCAUAUUUAUUACUAACGAUAAAAGUAGAAACAAACGAUUAAUUAUGCCUAAAUUUUGUGAAAUGACAAAUAUUAAGAAAAACCUAUAUUUAAUAAAGACGAUAAUUAAUUAGAAAUGAAAGAAAGUACAUCUAGUUAAUUGAGGUAAACAGCUCAAAAGUCCAAUGAAGACAAUCUUUAUUAGUGUGUUAAACACUUGGAAAACCAAAAACCAUUGUCACAAUCUAACAAUAGUUUCACAAAGUGAAGUCUUGACAGAGACUUACGCGGACCUUACCUCUACCUCAAAAGUAGAAAGGCAAAUUCAAGAAAUCAAUCAAUUCAAGAAAUGUACCUUCUGAAGGAGAUGGAGACCAAUAUGAAGAUGAUGAUGAUGGUCUUUUGGGAGCCCCAUUUGGAUAAUAAUUAAAACUAACAAAGCACUUAUGAAGAAAUAUUUGGCCAGAAAUUGAGCUACCACAUUCAACCUGAGCUUUUUGAACAGCACUUUUCACACACUCACCACAAUCACCAGAGCCCACAUCCCCUUCACACUGUCCCAAAACAAAAACAGACUCAUAAUUUGCUGUGUAAAAUCCAUUACUACCACUACUAACCAUCCCAUUUUCCAAUGAAGAAAAAGCAGUAUCCCUCUUUUCCUCAAAUCCACUCCCUGGUGCAUUUUUCCCACUACAAGUCUUGUACAACAUCUCCAUCCCUGAUAUUUGUGGGAAACCAGAAACCUCAUACAGCAUGUAACACCCUAAAAGCUGGAUUCUUGCAGCAACAGGAGUGCCACAAAGCUUGUCAAUAAGUAUUGGCAAACCAUUUACACAGUUGUAACAUUCAACAUUAGAAAGGUCACCUCUACACUGAAAAAGACCAGUUACAGUACUUUGUCCAGUACCAGUAGUAGUUUUGUAAAACUUGGACUUUGAAGACUGUGAAACUAGAGAGCCAAAAAGAGUUGAAAGUGCUUGUGAGUAAACACCAGAUGGAUCUGAUAAUGCCUGUUUUGCACAACCUUUGUACACCAAAUAAGUGUUUCCUGAUGCACAUUCAACUUGUGCUACAUUCCUGAAAAUUACAAUAACCACCAAGAAAACUGACAAAAUGCUACAUAAUGGUUUCUUGGACAACCCCAUUUUUUAGAGAUUCUUGAAAAUGGUAAGAAUGAUCAAGAAAAUAGAGAAAAUGCAACAAAAUAGUUUCUUGAGCUACCCCAUUUUAGGGAGAUUUUUGAAAGAUUAUACUAUCAUGUUUUUUUUUUUUGCUUAAGAAACCAGUAAGGGAUUUUGAAGGGUUGAGAUUCUAUUACUAGUACUAGUAGAAGUAGUGCUUAGUAAUAUUUCUUUCUUGAAAUUUGUUUCUGUUUUUUUUUUUCUGAAAAAAGGGGUAUUGGUUUUUGUAGUGGUGUUUGUUUGGGAUUCACUUUCUUUUUAGAUGUCCUACUAUUUGUCUAUCUUUGGAUGUGCAGAACUGAGAAAAUAGGGAUAUCUGUAUCUUUUAUCAGUACAGAUAUGGUAUACAAGGACAAUUUGAUACUGUAUUUUAACUUCUAACUCUAUUUUUAACUUACAAUAGCCUAGUUGAGCUUUGUCUUAGUACUUACUUUUUCAUAAUAUCAGUAGUCGUAUUUUUUUCUAUAGUUUCUUGUCUUUUGAUUUAUGUUGUAUUUAUUAUAUCCUGUACUUUGAUUAUUGCGUUUUUCGAAAACUUUGUUCUGCUUUCUAUAAUAAUUUAUGAUUCUACCUUUUAAUUUUAAACCCACCGAUGUGAGACUCUAACACUCCUCGCACGCUCAGGGCUGAACAUUUGGAGCGUGGAUAAACAUAAAGAAAUGGACCUUGGGCUAAGUCAACCUCAAAAACUAACUUAUGAGGGAAGGAUUGUCCAAGAUCAUAUAAGGACACCAAGGAUCCCUUAACCCACCGAUGUGGAAAGUUUCAACAGAUAUGUUUUUCUUGAGCUAAGAAUCUAUUGAAACAGUCUCUCUACUUUCAAAAGUAAAUAUAAAAUGUAUAUAUAUAUACUCCAUCACUCUCUUUGUUUUAAAUUAUAGAAUUACAC
RNAcentral lists this long non-coding RNA (9117 nucleotides) under Capsicum annuum. RNAcentral's name for it is "long non-coding RNA (CANN_LNC005654)". Lineage: Eukaryota; Viridiplantae; Streptophyta; Magnoliopsida; Solanales; Solanaceae. The record is from RNAcentral.